GACAGAGGGUGCAAACGUUGUUCGGAAUUACUGGGCGUAAAGCGUGUGUAGGCGGCUUUGUAAGUCGGAUGUGAAAGCCCCGGGCUUAACCCGGGAAGUGCACUCGAUACUGCGAAGCUUGAGUACUGGAGAGGUUGGUGGAAUUCUCGGUGUAGAGGUGAAAUUCGUAGAUAUCGAGAGGAACACCGGUGGCGAAGGCGGCCAACUGGACAGAUACUGACGCUGAGACACGAAAGCGUGGGGAGCAAACAGG
Molecule: ribosomal RNA, 253 nt
Filed under: uncultured bacterium
Lineage: Bacteria
Description: partial 16S ribosomal RNA
Rfam family: Bacterial small subunit ribosomal RNA
Source: RNAcentral